RNAcentral lists this unclassified non-coding RNA (456 nucleotides) under Hevea brasiliensis (rubber tree). Lineage: Eukaryota; Viridiplantae; Streptophyta; Magnoliopsida; Malpighiales; Euphorbiaceae. The record is from RNAcentral.
CCUGUAAAGUAUAAGAAGUUCAAGGAGAGUUUGUGCAGCGGUACGCCAAGAAAGACGAUAAUCUACCUCAAUAGUCGUUUUACACACUAAUCUAAAUAUACCCUUUAAUAAAUUAUACCAUUCGGAAACAAAAUAAUAAAUCUGUGCAACGAAAUUUAAUUAUACCCAUUUUAACAGUAAGCCAAACAUCUGUGAAACGAAAAAUAACCAAAACAUCUGUGACAGAACAUGGCAAAACAAUAACCCAAACAUGGAAACAAAAUAACAUCUGUGCAGGAAAAAUAACAAUAACAUGAAAUCCAAACACCUAUGUAGUGAAAUCCAAACGUCCAUGAAGUAAAAAUUGAAAACACAGCGGGAAGGACGAGUAGGCAGCUAGAGAUCCACUCACUGCAGCGGGACGCACAAGCAGGCGAUUCUCAAUCAGAAUCCGUCCUCUCUUGAGGCAAGAUGGAC